AGGCGGCUACCUGGACAGUGACUGACGCUGAGGCGCGAAAGCUAGGGGAGCGAACGGGAUUAGGUACCCCGGUAGUCCUAGCCGUAAACGAUGGGCACUUGGUGUUGGGGGUAUUGAGUCCCCCGGUGCCGGAGUUAACACGUUAAGUGCCCCGCCUGGGGAGUACGGUCGCAAGACUGAAACUCAAAGGAAUUGACGGGGGCCCGCACAAGCGGUGGAGCAUGUGGUUCAAUUCGACGCAACGCGAAGAACCUUACCGGGGCUCGAACGGUAACUGUAAUUCCUGGAAACAGGAAGUUCUCUUCGGAGACGGUUAUCGAGGUGCUGCAUGGCUGUCGUCAGCUCGUGUCGUGAGAUGUUGGGUUAAGUCCCGCAACGAGCGCAACCCUUGCCCUUAGUUGCCAUCAGGUUAUGCUGGGCACCCUAAGGGAACUGUCGGCGAAAAGCCGGAGGAAGGUGGGGAUGACGUCAAGUCCUCAUGGCCCUUACGUCCCGGGCUACACACGUGCUACAAUGGUCGGUACAAAGGGUUGCCAACCCGCGAGGGGGAGCUAAUCCCAAAAAGCCGAUCUCAGUUCGGAUUGCAGUCUGCAACUCGACUGCAUGAAGGCGGAAUCGCUAGUAAUCGCAGAUCAGAAUGCUGCGGUGAAUACGUUCCCGGGCCUUGUACACACCGCCCGUCACAUCACGAAAGUGGGUUGUACUAGAAAUCGCUGAGCUAACUCGCAAGAGGGGCAAGCGCUUAAGGUAUGAUCCAUGAUUGGGGUGAAGUCGUAACAAGGUAACCA
RNAcentral lists this ribosomal RNA (788 nucleotides) under uncultured bacterium. Its description in RNAcentral is "bacterial SSU rRNA". It matches the Rfam family "Bacterial small subunit ribosomal RNA", at positions 719 to 1502 of the family's 1533-position model. The record is from RNAcentral.